GGUCCUACGGGGGGCAGCAGUGGGGGAUAUUGCACAAUGGGGGGAACCCUGAUGCAGCGACGCCGCGUGAGUGAAGAAGUAUUUCGGUAUGUAAAGCUCUAUCAGCAGGGAAGAAGAAAGACGGUACCUGAGUAAGAAGCCCCGGCUAACUACGUGCCAGCAGCCGCGGUAAUACGUAGGGGGCAAGCGUUAUCCGGAUUUACUGGGUGUAAAGGGAGCGUAGACGGCGAUGCAAGUCUGAAGUGAAAGGCGGGGGCCCAACCCCCGGACUGCUUUGGAAACUGUAUGGCUGGAGUGCAGGAGGG
Molecule: ribosomal RNA, 305 nt
Filed under: uncultured bacterium
Lineage: Bacteria
Description: partial 16S ribosomal RNA
Rfam family: Bacterial small subunit ribosomal RNA
Source: RNAcentral